This 497-nucleotide ribosomal RNA is filed under the name uncultured bacterium. RNAcentral's name for it is "partial 16S ribosomal RNA". It matches the Rfam family "Bacterial small subunit ribosomal RNA", at positions 28 to 507 of the family's 1533-position model. The record is from RNAcentral.
GAUGAACGCCGGCGGCGUGCCUAAUACAUGCAAGUCGAGCGAACGGACGAGAAGCUUGCUUCUCUGAUGUUAGCGGCGGACGGGUGAGUAACACGUGGAUAACCUACCUAUAAGACUGGGAUAACUUCGGGAAACCGGAGCUAAUACCGGAUAAUAUUUUGAACCGCAUGGUUCAAAAGUGAAAGACGGUCUUGCUGUCACUUAUAGAUGGAUCCGCGCUGCAUUAGCUAGUUGGUAAGGUAACGGCUUACCAAGGCAACGAUGCAUAGCCGACCUGAGAGGGUGAUCGGCCACACUGGAACUGAGACACGGUCAAGACUCCUACGGGAGGCAGCAGUAGGGAAUCUUCCGCAAUGGGCGAAAGCCUGACGGAGCAACGCCGCGUGAGUGAUGAAGGUCUUCGGAUCGUAAAACUCUGUUAUUAGGGAAGAACAUAUGUGUAAGUAACUGUGCACAUCUUGACGGUACCUAAUCAGAAAGCCACGGCUAACUACGUG